UACAGUUCCAGGUAUAGUUGCAGAAUCAUUCUCCCCUUUGAUAACCAACAAGAGGGACCCCCUAGUUAUAGUUAACACACUCGCUGAGGGCUACAAAGACAGAGGCUUGGCCUGCUUCUGCCAUUUAGUAGCUAAGCGACCUCCAUUGAAUUACCUGACCUUCAAAGUCCCAUGUUUUUCAUUUGUAUCACAGGGAUGAUACGUAAUAUGAAAUUCCUUUCAAAGGUUUAUGUUGAUUAUAAAAUCAUUCAGGCUUGUGAAGGUGGAUAAAAGAUAACUGGCAAAAGUACUCAAUAUGUUUUAGAAACACAGCCAGUCCCUGAUCUAUGAACAAAUUCCAUGGUGGGAGAGUGUUUGUAAAUCAGAUUCAUUCCUAGGUCGGACAAAGUGAGUCUUGCACACCUUUGACACAAAUAUCCAAUGUUCAUUGCUUUGCGCUUCCGGGCGUCCCCUCCACAUCAUCACUGCUUUCCUCCUGCUUCGCACACCCCGGGCUCCGGCUGAGCACUGUACUGCUGAGCACUGUCGCACUGUACAACGAUUGCACAGCGGCACAGCCGUGACAAUAACUGGCAGACACAUGGGCUACUUCUGCGAUUUGCUUUCAUCUACAAACGUUUGUAAUGGGAGGUCCGUUCAUCUGUGGAAGUUUGCAACUCGAAUGUUGAUUGUAAAUUCCCUAAGGGCAGAAAUCAAGAAGGAGAAGAAGAGAAGUUUGGAGAGGGCAGAUAUCUUUUGAAGUUAAUCUAAAUAUGUAUUGAAAUUCUGACACCACUGGUCACUUAAUGCCACCGUGAGACUUCUGUUUCUCAUCUAUAGAACAGGUGCACUGAUUAGGACCUGCAAGUCAGUGGGAAGAAGACCCUGUGUUUGUGAAGUUAUCGGCAUGCUAAUCCAACUUCCUUCUUACUGCUUGCUUUUCCU
RNAcentral lists this long non-coding RNA (924 nucleotides) under Chinchilla lanigera (long-tailed chinchilla). RNAcentral's name for it is "lncRNA (ENSCLAG00000025674.1)". The record is from RNAcentral. Lineage: Eukaryota; Metazoa; Chordata; Mammalia; Rodentia; Chinchillidae.